This 429-nucleotide ribosomal RNA is filed under the name Chloroflexota bacterium. Its description in RNAcentral is "Chloroflexi bacterium partial 16S ribosomal RNA". It matches the Rfam family "Bacterial small subunit ribosomal RNA", at positions 355 to 776 of the family's 1533-position model. Lineage: Bacteria; Bacillati; Chloroflexota. The record is from RNAcentral.
UGGGGAAUAUUGCACAAUGGGCGCAAGCCUGAUGCCGCCAUGCCGCGUGUAUGAAGAAGGCCUUCGGGUUGUAAAGUACUUUCAGCGGGGAGGAAGGGAGUAAAGUUAAUACCUUUGCUCAUUGACGUUACCCGCAGAAGAAGCACCGGCUAACUCCGUGCCAGCAGCCGCGGUAAUACGGAGGGUGCAAGCGUUAAUCGGAAUUACUGGGCGUAAAGCGCACGCAGGCGGUUUGUUAAGUCAGAUGUGAAAUCCCCGGGCUCAACCUGGGAACUGCAUCUGAUACUGGCAAGCUUGAGUCUCGUAGAGGGGGGUAGAAUUCCAGGUGUAGCGGUGAAAUGCGUAGAGAUCUGGAGGAAUACCGGUGGCGAAGGCGGCCCCCUGGACAAAGACUGACGCUCAGGUGCGAAAGCGUGGGGAGCAAACAGG